UGGGGAAUUUUGGACAAUGGGCGAAAGCCUGAUCCAGCCAUGCCGCGUGCAGGAUGAAGGCCUUCGGGUUGUAAACUGCUUUUGUACGGAACGAAAAAGCCUCUUUCUAAUAAAGAGGGGUCAUGACGGUACCGUAAGAAUAAGCACCGGCUAACUACGUGCCAGCAGCCGCGGUAAUACGUAGGGUGCAAGCGUUAAUCGGAAUUACUGGGCGUAAAGCGUGCGCAGGCGGUUUUGUAAGACAGAGGUGAAAUCCCCGGGCUCAACCUGGGAACUGCCUUUGUGACUGCAAGGCUGGAGUGCGGCAGAGGGGGAUGGAAUUCCGCGUGUAGCAGUGAAAUGCGUAGAUAUGCGGAGGAACACCGAUGGCGAAGGCAAUCCCCUGGGCCUGCACCUGACGCUCAUGCACGAAAGCGUGGGGAGCAAACAGGAUUAGAUACCCUGGUAGUCCACGCCCUAAACGAUGUCAACUGGUUGUUGGGUCUUCACUGACUCAGUAACGAAGCUAACGCGUGAAGUUGACCGCCUGGGGAGUACGCCGCAAGGUUGAAACUCAAAGGAA
This 562-nucleotide ribosomal RNA is filed under the name uncultured bacterium. RNAcentral describes it as "partial 16S ribosomal RNA". It matches the Rfam family "Bacterial small subunit ribosomal RNA", at positions 355 to 909 of the family's 1533-position model. The record is from RNAcentral.